GAGGUUAUAGCUUAGUGGUUGAGCACGUGCUUAGCAUGCAUGAGGUCCUGGGUUCAGUCCUCAGUACCUCU
This 71-nucleotide transfer RNA is filed under the name Camelus bactrianus (Bactrian camel). It matches the Rfam family "tRNA". From Rfam's summary of the family: Transfer RNA (tRNA) molecules are approximately 80 nucleotides in length. Their secondary structure includes four short double-helical elements and three loops (D, anti-codon, and T loops). RNAcentral also lists the same sequence under 2 other names. The record is from Rfam by way of RNAcentral. Lineage: Eukaryota; Metazoa; Chordata; Mammalia; Artiodactyla; Camelidae.